This 274-nucleotide ribosomal RNA is filed under the name uncultured bacterium. RNAcentral's name for it is "partial 16S ribosomal RNA". It matches the Rfam family "Bacterial small subunit ribosomal RNA", at positions 523 to 796 of the family's 1533-position model. The record is from RNAcentral.
AUACGGAGGGUGCAAACGUUAAUCGGAAUUACUGGGCGUAAAGCGCGCGUAGGUGGUUUAGUAAGUCGGAUGUGAAAGCCCUGGGCUCAACCUGGGAAUUGCAUUCGAUACUGCUUGACUAGAGUAUGGUAGAGGGAAGUGGAAUUUCCGGUGUAGCGGUGAAAUGCGUAGAUAUCGGAAGGAACACCAGUGGCGAAGGCGACUUUCUGGGCCAAUACUGACGCUGAGGUGCGAAAGCGUGGGGAGCAAACAGGAUUAGAAACCCCAGUAGUCC